RNAcentral lists this ribosomal RNA (758 nucleotides) under Bacillus licheniformis. RNAcentral describes it as "bacterial SSU rRNA". It matches the Rfam family "Bacterial small subunit ribosomal RNA", at positions 62 to 801 of the family's 1533-position model. Lineage: Bacteria; Bacillati; Bacillota; Bacilli; Caryophanales; Bacillaceae. The record is from RNAcentral.
UCGAGCGGACAGAUGGGAGCUUGCUCCCUGAUGUUAGCGGCGGACGGGUGAGUAACACGUGGGUAACCUGCCUGUAAGACUGGGAUAACUCCGGGAAACCGGGGCUAAUACCGGAUGGUUGUUUGAACCGCAUGGUUCAAAUAUAAAAGGUGGCUUUUAGCUACCACUUACAGAUGGACCCGCGGCGCAUUAGCUAGUUGGUGAGGUAACGGCUCACCAAGGCAACAAUGCGUAGCCAACCUGAGAGGGUGAUCGGCCACACUGGGACUGAAACACGGCCCAAACUCCUACGGGAGGCAGCAGUAGGGAAUCUUCCGCAAUGGACGAAAGUCUGACGGAGCAACGCCGCGUGAGUGAUGAAGGUUUUCGGAUCGUAAAACUCUGUUGUUAGGGAAGAACAAGUACCGUUCGAAUAGGGCGGUACCUUGACGGUACCUAACCAGAAAGCCACGGCUAACUACGUGCCAGCAGCCGCGGUAAUACGUAGGUGGCAAGCGUUGUCCGGAAUUAUUGGGCGUAAAGCGCGCGCAGGCGGUUUCUUAAGUCUGAUGUGAAAGCCCCCGGCUCACCCGGGGAGGGUCAUUGGAAACUGGGGAACUUGAGUGCAGAAGAGGAGAGUGGAAUUCCACGUGUAGCGGUGAAAUGCGUAGAGAUGUGGAGGAACACCAGUGGCGAAGGCGACUCUCUGGUCUGUAACUGACGCUGAGGCGCGAAAGCGUGGGGAGCGAACAGGAUUAGAUACCCUGGUAGUCCACGCC